RNAcentral lists this ribosomal RNA (206 nucleotides) under uncultured bacterium. RNAcentral's name for it is "partial 16S ribosomal RNA". It matches the Rfam family "Bacterial small subunit ribosomal RNA", at positions 568 to 774 of the family's 1533-position model. The record is from RNAcentral.
CGCGUAGGCGGGUUUUCAAGUCGGUUGUGAAAUCCCUCAGCUCAACUGAGGAACUGCAUCCGAUACUGUUUGUCUUGAGGACGAGAGGGGAGAGUGGAACUUCUGGUGGAGCGGUGAAAUGCGUAGAUAUCAGAAGGAACGCCGGUGGCGAAAGCGACUCUCUGGCUCGUAUCUGACGCUGAGGCGCGAAAGCUUGGUAGCAAACG